GUUAAUGUAAUUCAACAAGAAUAUCAGAAUGUGAUCCUGAAAAUAAGUACUAACUUCAUUAACC
RNAcentral lists this transfer RNA (64 nucleotides) under Myxine glutinosa (Atlantic hagfish). Its description in RNAcentral is "transfer RNA-His". The record is from RNAcentral. Lineage: Eukaryota; Metazoa; Chordata; Myxini; Myxiniformes; Myxinidae.